GACAGAGGUGCCAAGCGUUAAGCGGAAUCACUGGGCUUAAAGCGUGUGUAGGCGGGCAAUCAAGUACCUUGUGAAAUCCCACGGCUCAACCGUGGAACUGCUGGGUAUACUGGUUGUCUUGAGCCAGCUAGGGGCGAGCGGAACAGACGGUGGAGCGGUGAAAUGCGUAGAUAUCGUCUGGAACGCCGAAGGUGAAAACAGCUCGCUGGGGCUGCGCUGACGCUGAGACACGAAAGCCAGGGGAGCGAACGGG
This 253-nucleotide ribosomal RNA is filed under the name uncultured bacterium. Its description in RNAcentral is "partial 16S ribosomal RNA". It matches the Rfam family "Bacterial small subunit ribosomal RNA", at positions 524 to 776 of the family's 1533-position model. The record is from RNAcentral.